AUUGGAGUUCGUCAGGAUCCCGAAUAGGAGCAAACUGAGCUCCUUUAGCUAGCUGCCUUUGAAGGCAGGCAACCUCAUCGGUCGCCAUCCUGAGCUUCCCCCUAUAGUCAUCCACCUGCUUGCACCAGCCAGCCCGGUACGCGUUAUAGCUCGCCUCGGCAUCCUGGAGCUAUUGCUGAAGGUCGGAGAACUUCUUCGACCAUUC
Molecule: long non-coding RNA, 205 nt
Filed under: Elaeis guineensis (African oil palm)
Lineage: Eukaryota; Viridiplantae; Streptophyta; Magnoliopsida; Arecales; Arecaceae
Description: long non-coding RNA (EGUI_LNC076496)
Source: RNAcentral